AGUGAACGCUGGCGGUAGGCCUAACACAUGCAAGUCGAACGGCAGCACAGUAUGGGCUUCUUCUUACGGGUGGUGAGUGGCGGACGGGUGAGGAAUACAGCGGAACCUACUUUUUCGUGGGGAAUCACGGAGGGAGACUUACGCUAAGACCGCAUAUGACCUACGGGUGAAAGCAGGGGCACUCCGGACCUUGCCAGAUUGAAUCAGCCGAUGCCGGAUUAGCUAGUGGGCGGGGUAAAGGCCCACCAAGGCGUCGAUCCGUAGAGGGUCAGAGAGGAUGAUGAGGCACCCUGGAAGGGAGAGGGGAGCGAGACGCUGCGGGAGGGAGAAGUGGCGAAUAUUGGACAAUGGGCGCAAGCCUGAUCCAGCGAUACCGCGUGAGUGGAGGAGGCCUUCGGGUCGUGUGGCCCUUUUGUUGGGAAAGAAAAGCAGCGGGUUAAUACCCCACUGUUCUGACGGUACCCAAAGAAUAAGGACCGGCUAACUUCGUG
Molecule: ribosomal RNA, 491 nt
Filed under: uncultured bacterium
Lineage: Bacteria
Description: partial 16S ribosomal RNA
Rfam family: Bacterial small subunit ribosomal RNA
Source: RNAcentral